UUCGGGGCGAGUAAAGCGGCGAAAGGGUGAGUAACACGUAACCAACCUACCCCUCAGACUGGAAUAACCAUCGGAAACGAUGGGUAAUGCCAGAUGGUCCUCGGUGUGGCAUCACGCUGAAGGUAAACGGUCUGCUGCUGAGGGAGGGGGUUGCGGGCUAUCAGCUUGUUGGUGAGGUAACGGCUCACCAAGGCUAUGACGGCUAGCGGGUCUGAGAGGACGAUCCGUCACACUGGGACUGAGACACUGCCCAGACUCCUACGGGAGGCUGCAGUCGAGAAUCUUCCGCAAUGGGCGAAAGCCUGACGGAGCGACACCGCGUGCAGGAUGAAGGCCUUCGGGUUGUAAACUGCUGUCACGCUAUAGGAAAAGCGCUCAGCGCCUUGACCAAAGCGAGAGGAAGCACCGGCUAACUCCGUGCCAGCAGCCGCGGUAAGACGGAGGGUGCAAACGUUGUUCGGAAUUACUGGGCAUAAAGAGCACGUAGGCGGCUCGUCAAGUCACGCGUGAAAUCCCUCGGCUCAACCGGGGAACUGCGUAUGAUACUGGCGGGCUAGAGGACGGUAGGGGUGAGCGGAACUCCAGGUGGAGCGGUGAAAUGCGUAGAUAUCUGGAGGAACACCGGUGGCGAAAGCGGCUCACUGGACCGUAACUGACGCUGAGGUGCGAAAGCUAGGGUAGCAAACGGGAUUAGAUACCCUGGUA
RNAcentral lists this ribosomal RNA (705 nucleotides) under uncultured bacterium. RNAcentral's name for it is "bacterial SSU rRNA". It matches the Rfam family "Bacterial small subunit ribosomal RNA", at positions 80 to 792 of the family's 1533-position model. The record is from RNAcentral.